Long non-coding RNA from Hordeum vulgare subsp. vulgare (domesticated barley), 762 nucleotides. RefSeq lists it as uncharacterized. Lineage: Eukaryota; Viridiplantae; Streptophyta; Magnoliopsida; Poales; Poaceae. The transcript has 2 exons. The record is from RefSeq and is a predicted model, not a curated record.
GUGGUAGCUUUGGGCCCAAUCCCACCAACGCUUCCUUCUCCUUCCUUCGUUGAUGUCACCUUAGUACGAAGCCAUGGAAGCCACCAGCAACCCCAGCGCCUUAACCCUAGCCUCGCAUCUCUCCCCUCUUCUCCCCUCUUACCACAGUCGGGGCGAGGCCCCAGAGCUCCACCACGCCAUGGCCGGCUCCGGCAAGAGCUCGAGGCCGUGGUAAUCCGACAUCCUCGACCCUCCCCUGCAGAAUCAGGAGCCGGCGGACGAACAUGGGGUUCCAUUUUCGUGGAGAAGUGCCACCAAGGUCGACCACCUCGACGUCCACGACGACCGAGGCUUCUUCACGUCCAGCGAGCCUUCCUGAAGCGGAUCCACGACGGGAGAUCCUGUCCAUCGCGCAUGGAUGCCCCCUCUUCUCUCCCUCUUAGAUCCGUCUUUCGUCGUCAAGGAGCUGGAGUGUUCGCGGGCUAGAGGAGUAACCUAGUUCGAUCCGUGUGGAUUGGAGCCCACAAAGACCAUGCUGCCUUAGAUAGAGAUUUUCCGCUGCCUUCACCCUUGUAAUAUCCCAUGUAAGGUCCUUAUAUCUAUUAAUAGAAAUGCAUGUGUUCAUGAUACUUGUUGUAAACGCGCAUACCAGAGUAAUUUCAUGGGCUGGUAUGUGUGGCGACCGUCUGCCUACAGUGGUAAUCAGGCGGGGCGCCAGAGUGCCUGAAGAUCAGGAACAGUUCCACUCUGAAAAAAUCACACGCAAGAUGAUCAUGACCUUGA